UUAAAUGAAUAGUCUAGACCAAACUCCACUGGGAAAAGUGGGUCGGUACCAAUGCACUCUUGAGUUAUUGGACUUUUAGUGGUUUGGUGGUGAUAUUUUGUGCUACUGGCAAAUUCCAACAGAAUUUAAGGCCAUUGUAUUAAGUGUGUUUCCGAUAUGCUUUUUUAUCUUCUGUCUUUCUUUCUUUUUUUUUCUUCCCCUGGACCAGGGUGGGGACUGCUGGUACAUGCAUGAUUUUGAGUUGAAUAGGAAUGCUAAAUGAAGUGCACUUCCAGUUUUAAACCUGUAAGCAUCAACUUUGGCACAUUUCCCACUUUUGUAGGUCUUGUGCAUUUAAUAUAGAAAGAUGGCAUGCAUCCUAAGUUCAGUUUAAUAUUUAGGGUGCCAAGCUUGCAGAACCUGAUGUAAUUUGUUUUUAUGCAGUGGCAAGCGGAUCCGUUAUUCCUAAAAAUUGGUUUCACAUUCAAUCGUUUGGAAUUCCAGUUCACAACCUUUUAACAUGUUGGCUGGUCGUUAAUGCAGCAUCUCAGGCAUUUGGUUUCUUGUACAGCGCAGUUUCACUACCAAUGUCGAUAUUUGGGUUUUGUACCAUUGACUGAGUUCCCCAUAUGUGUUUAGAGAUCAUUUUAAGUCAAGAACUAACUGAUAUCCAUUAUAAACCAUUCAAGACAGACACGCAUCAUUUAAGAGUGUUUUAAUUUCAUUAUUUGAAUACAAUAUGGAGCUGAACCCCAGUUUUGAUAUGUAAAGCAUGAGGACAUGCAUGGACCACCAUGGUCUCAGGUUAUGACCUUAACACUUUUUUCCUUUUUGCUGCUCACAUGCUUGUCCCUUUUUCCCAUGAUCACCUCCAUGACCAUGACCUUGUCCUUGCUGUCCUUGCUGUCCUUGCUGUCCUUGCUGUUGCUGAGAUUUCCCUUUAUCUUUGCCUUGGCCCUUUCCGUGCUUCUACAAGUAGAAGUAAAUUCAGAGUUACAGUCUUUCAUUGGAACUUUUAAUAUGCAAAAAGCGCAAUAAUUUUCCACCACUAAAGUUUGCUCUUACCUGUCCACAUUCGUCUCCUGAGCUCUAUGAGACAGGAAAUAUGAGAAUAGGAUUAGCAUACAAUGGAAAAGUUCUUUAACUAUUUGUGUAGAAAUGUAAAGAGUGCGUUAUUGUCUUCAUACCAUGGAGCCAGAAUCUUUGCAGCCCUGUUAAUAUACAGAACGAUCAGUGUGUUAUUCUUUAAAACUUACAAUUAAUGAAUGAAUCCACAGAUAUGCACAAUUCAAAUGCUAAUAAAAUUUGCAAUGCUAUAAAAUUUGUAUACUCGAGAGGAAUUGUAAAUAUCUUACCUGAUGUUGUUCUGCAGAAGAUAUUUGGAAAACAAAAAUGAGCAUUAAGAGUUGUUCUCUAAUGGCAUUUAAGUGAAAUAAUUGUGAAAGUGUACCAGUAAAAUUUCUUUAAAUUUUAAUAAAAUGUCACAAACAGAAAAACGUCAGUAUAUUUAUAUGAAAUAUUACUUACGUGGAUUACUCAUGUUGAGAUUUUCAGAUAUUCAACACGUCUUUAAACACUAAACAAUGAAAAAGACCUGUAAGCAAGAUUUCUUCUGCAUGCAUGUUCAAAUUCUAAUAUUUCAUAAGAUAAAAUAGGCUACUUGGAAAUAAAUAUACUAAAGAGUAAAUUUAGUAACUUUUUGGUCUGUUAUUUUUCAUCAAAUGGUCCCAUGAAUUAUGCAUUUGACAAGUAUCUGUCUGAGCUAAUAAAUGAGGAAUGUCUUACCUCUUGUCUCGUCUUGCUCUCCGUGUGGAAAUGCUGUUCUCGUGCUUGUAUUUAUACUUUGGAUCCACCCUCAGGUGACACAGAUACCUGCUCAUCCACGCCCAAGAGUGGAUAAACAAGUCUGUGCUCACAUUAAAAAAGCAGACUACAAGAAAUAAGAGAUGAAUGAAAAAUAAAUAUAUUUUUAGUAUCCACUGUAUUUGUUGAAUAUGUCUUAAAUGAUCUAUAUGAAUUUUGAUUCAUGUAUUUGAGUGGAUGAUGCACUGAACACUGAAUGAAUUUAUGCAAGAUCCUCUAAAAAGAAAUGUCAUAAUUCAUAAGUCAUCUUAUCAGUACAUGUUAAAACAUGCGAGUUUCAGUGCAAAUGUUCUGACUCUGCUGUAAAAUAGUGUAGAU
Molecule: long non-coding RNA, 2160 nt
Organism: Cyprinus carpio carpio
Lineage: Eukaryota; Metazoa; Chordata; Actinopteri; Cypriniformes; Cyprinidae
Source: Ensembl